RNAcentral lists this ribosomal RNA (465 nucleotides) under Vreelandella stevensii. RNAcentral's name for it is "partial 16S ribosomal RNA". It matches the Rfam family "Bacterial small subunit ribosomal RNA", at positions 338 to 795 of the family's 1533-position model. Lineage: Bacteria; Pseudomonadati; Pseudomonadota; Gammaproteobacteria; Oceanospirillales; Halomonadaceae. The record is from RNAcentral.
CCUACGGGAGGCUGCAGUGGGGAAUAUUGGACAAUGGGGGGAACCCUGAUCCAGCCAUGCCGCGUGUGUGAAGAGGGCCCUCGGGUUGUAAAGCACUUUCAGUGAGGAAGAACGCCUGGUGGUUAAUACCCAUCAGGAAAGACAUCACUCACAGAAGAAGCACCGGCUAACUCCGUGCCAGCAGCCGCGGUAAUACGGAGGGUGCGAGCGUUAAUCGGAAUUACUGGGCGUAAAGCGCGCGUAGGUGGCUUGAUAAGCCGGUUGUGAAAGCCCCGGGCUCAACCUGGGAACGGCAUCCGGAACUGUCAAGCUAGAGUGCAGGAGAGGAAGGUAGAAUUCCCGGUGUAGCGGUGAAAUGCGUAGAGAUCGGGAGGAAUACCAGUGGCGAAGGCGGCCUUCUGGACUGACACUGACACUGAGGUGCGAAAGCGUGGGUAGCAAACAGGAUUAGAUACCCUUGUAGUC